RNAcentral lists this ribosomal RNA (506 nucleotides) under uncultured bacterium. Its description in RNAcentral is "partial 16S ribosomal RNA". It matches the Rfam family "Bacterial small subunit ribosomal RNA", at positions 29 to 523 of the family's 1533-position model. The record is from RNAcentral.
AGUGAACGCUGGCGGUAGGCCUAACACAUGCAAGUCGAACGGCAGCACAGAGGAGCUUGCUCCUCGGGUGACGAGUGGCGGACGGGUGAGUAAUGUCUGGGGAUCUGCCCGAUAGAGGGGGAUAACCACUGGAAACGGUGGCUAAUACCGCAUAACGUCGCAAGACCAAAGAGGGGGACCUUCGGGCCUCUCACUAUCGGAUGAACCCAGAUGGGAUUAGCUAGUAGGCGGGGUAACGGCCCACCUAGGCGACGAUCCCUAGCUGGUCUGAGAGGAUGACCAGCCACACUGGAACUGAGACACGGUCCAGACUCCUACGGGAGGCAGCAGUGGGGAAUAUUGCACAAUGGGCGCAAGCCUGAUGCAGCCAUGCCGCGUGUAUGAAGAAGGCCUUCGGGUUGUAAAGUACUUUCAGCGGGGAGGAAGGCGAUGUGGUUAAUAACCGCGUCGAUUGACGUUACCCGCAGAAGAAGCACCGGCUAACUCCGUGCCAGCCGCCGCCGUAA